This 338-nucleotide ribosomal RNA is filed under the name uncultured fungus. RNAcentral's name for it is "SSU rRNA". It matches the Rfam family "Eukaryotic small subunit ribosomal RNA", at positions 20 to 371 of the family's 1831-position model. Lineage: Eukaryota; Fungi. The record is from RNAcentral.
GUAGUCAUAUGCUUGUCUCAAAGAUUAAGCCAUGCAUGUCUAAGUAUAAGCAACUUUGUACUGUGAAACUGCGAAUGGCUCAUUAAAUCAGUUAUAGUUUAUUUGAUGGUUUUUGCUACAUGGAUAACUGUGGUAAUUCUAGAGCUAAUACAUGCAUUCAAGCCCCGACUUCUGGAAGGGGUGUAUUUAUUAGAUAAAAAUCAACUUUGUUGGUGAAUCAUAAUAACUUCUCGGACCGCAUGGCCUCGUGCUGGCGGUGCUUCAUUCAAAUAUCUGCCCUAUCAACUGUCGAUGGUAGGAUAGAGGCCUACCAUGGUUGCAACGGGUAACGGGGAAUG